UACAGAGGUCUCAAGCGUUGUUCGGAUUCAUUGGGCGUAAAGAGCGUGUAGGCGGCUUUGCAAGUCCGUUGUGAAAACUCGAGGCUCAACCUCGAGACGCCGGUGGAAACUGCAAAGCUAGAGUCCGGAAGAGGAGAGUGGAAUUCCUGGUGUAGCGGUGAAAUGCGCAGAUAUCAGGAAGAACACCCGUGGCGAAGGCGGCUCUCUGGGACGGUACUGACGCUGAGACGCGAAAGCGUGGGGAGCGAACAGG
This 253-nucleotide ribosomal RNA is filed under the name uncultured bacterium. RNAcentral's name for it is "partial 16S ribosomal RNA". It matches the Rfam family "Bacterial small subunit ribosomal RNA", at positions 524 to 776 of the family's 1533-position model. The record is from RNAcentral.